GAAAAGAAAAGUUAGGAUAACAUGUUUUGCCAUUUUUUUUAUAAUGAAUAGCUUUCCUGGGGGUUUUCCCCUCGGGGUUGACCCCCUGGAAACCCCCUGGGAUUUGUGAAGUUUUCAGCAUCAAACAAAAACCUACUGAAUCACUCCAUGGGUUUUAGAGCACACUGGUCAAUUUCCCUCGCCAAGAGGCUAAACUGUUGACAGAACCCCUUCAUUUACAAUAAUAACAGACAAAUUUAUCAAUUUUUCUUACUCUCUUCUUCUUUGAAACUCAUACCACGUCCUAGGCUUUGUACAACGGUAGGAUGAACAACAAACAUGCAACAAACUUUGAAGACCUCUAUGAAAUGUCAUGUAAAUGGCCGCAAGGUUGCUCAUCUACAUGUUCAUCCAGGAUGUUGAAAGUGACAUACCACUGACCACUCUCAAACAAAUCCCAUAGGUGCAUCCCAGUGGUCUGGCACAUUUGUUUCAAAAACCAAACAAUGUCUUCAUCCUAUGGGACAAUUUUUGUUUAAAAAAUGCACCAUUCCUUGCAUAUUCCUAGGGUUUCUCUUCUUACUUAGUGGUCUUCAAAGUUUGUAGAUCUCUAGUAGGAAGAUUCAUUGUUAUUGAGACUUUUCUUACUUAUAAAAAUUAUUUUAUUCCAGGAAAGAAGGGUAAAAACCCAAAAGGACUUCCAUCACCUUGGACCACUCGUUCUGGAAGUAGUGGUGAUGGGACACUCAUUAUUGGGGGCGAGGUUUUUAAUUGCUAUGUAGAGGAUUUAAAAGAGUUAAAUGUUCUUGGGCAUGGAGGAUCUGGUUGGGUGUACCGGAUGAUACAUAAGCCCACGGGCCACAUUAUGGCAGUCAAGAGAAUGAGGGCUAUUCACUCAAGAAAGCUGGUUUCAAAGGAAUUGGAUGUCUUAAUGAGGACGAUAUACUCUAACUUUCCAUAUCUUGUGCCUUUUUAUGGUUCAUUGUUUAGAGAGGUAUGUUCACUUGAGAUAUAAGAAAUUGCUGACUUUACAGUUAUGAACCCUAUGUACGAUUCUAACAUAACAGUUUCCCUCCAAAUGUACUUUUGGGUGUCCCUCAGGAUCCCCUUACAGUGUGCUGUAUAAUUUUUGAAAUUUAUUUUUGAAAGGGAAACUAGUGGUAAUAUGAAGGAAUUUGGAAAUUUUAGUUUGGAAGAUCAAGAGAAUUUAUGAUUGAAGAUGGAUAAAUGACGAAAUGAUUUAAAACUUCUUGUUCUACAAAGUCUGAACAGAUUCCAAUCUGACUUGGAGUGUGCAAAAGUAGGACAACACUGAACUUCUCUAUGGAGGUUAUUGGGUACAUGUAUCUGCUCUGUAUGCCUUACCACAUUUUUCUUCCAGACAUUGGAUUCUGUAUCAAGGAAAUUUCUUGGUCACAUGGAAAUUCUUUUCAAGAGGGAAUAAUUUUCAGAACAUAAGGUCAUUUCAAAUCUGGCUUUAACAUACAAUCUGCCAAAAAUGUGUGGUCACAAGACCAUCUUGUAUUAAAAUGCUUUGAGUUGCUUGAUCAUGACAUGGCCACCAGUCACAUUAGAUCAAUCUCAGGCAGUGUUAUCAAGUUUAUAAAGAUGAAGCUGGUUUGGAAGUUUAAAUUAUAGACAUGGUUAAAUUGUGGUCUGUAUAUUAUGGUUACUGCUGUCUGUUUGCAGAACGUGCAGUUCCAAAAAAUAUCCAUCUAUACCCACCCCAAGGGAG
This is a long non-coding RNA of Orbicella faveolata, 1714 nucleotides long. The record is from RefSeq and is a predicted model, not a curated record. NCBI's taxonomy places the organism in Eukaryota, Metazoa, Cnidaria, Anthozoa, Scleractinia, Merulinidae.